UGAAGUCGGAAUCGCUAGUAAUCGCGGGUCAGCAUACCGCGGUGAAUACGUUCCCGGGCCUUGUACACACCGCCCGUCACACCAUGAGAGUCGGGAACACCCGAAGUCCGUAGUCUAACCGCAAGGAGGGCGCGGCCGAAGGUGGGUCCGGUAAUUGGGGUGAAGUCGUAACAAGGUAUC
Molecule: ribosomal RNA, 180 nt
Filed under: uncultured bacterium
Lineage: Bacteria
Description: partial 16S ribosomal RNA
Rfam family: Bacterial small subunit ribosomal RNA
Source: RNAcentral